RNAcentral lists this ribosomal RNA (496 nucleotides) under uncultured bacterium. RNAcentral describes it as "partial 16S ribosomal RNA". It matches the Rfam family "Bacterial small subunit ribosomal RNA", at positions 29 to 507 of the family's 1533-position model. The record is from RNAcentral.
AUGAACGCUGGCGGCGUGCCUAAUACAUGCAAGUCGAGCGAACAGACGAGGAGCUUGCUCCUCUGACGUUAGCGGCGGACGGGUGAGUAACACGUGGAUAACCUACCUAUAAGACUGGGAUAACUUCGGGAAACCGGAGCUAAUACCGGAUAAUAUAUUGAACCGCAUGGUUCAAUAGUGAAAGACGGUUUUGCUGUCACUUAUAGAUGGAUCCGCGCCGCAUUAGCUAGUUGGUAAGGUAACGGCUUACCAAGGCGACGAUGCGUAGCCGACCUGAGAGGGUGAUCGGCCACACUGGAACUGAGACACGGUCCAGACUCCUACGGGAGGCAGCAGUAGGGAAUCUUACGCAAUGGGCGAAAGCCUGACGGAGCAACGCCGCGUGAGUGAUGAAGGUCUUCGGAUCGUAAAACUCUGUUAUUAGGGAAGAACAAAUGUGUAAGUAACUAUGCACGUCUUGACGGUACCUAAUCAGAAAGCCACGGCUAACUACGUG